AAUGAACGCUGGCGGCAGGCCUAACACAUGCAAGUCGAACGGAUCCUUCGGGAUUAGUGGCGGACGGGUGAGUAACGCGUGGGAACAUACCCUUUGGUACGGAAUAGCCUCGGGAAACUGGGAGUAAUACCGUAUGUGGUCGAGAGACGAAAGAUUUAUCGCCAAAGGAUUGGCCCGCGUUGGAUUAGGUAGUUGGUGGGGUAAUGGCCUACCAAGCCGACGAUCCAUAGCUGGUUUGAGAGGAUGAUCAGCCACACUGGGACUGAGACACGGCCCAGACUCCUACGGGAGGCAGCAGUGGGGAAUCUUAGACAAUGGGGGAAACCCUGAUCUAGCCAUGCCGCGUGAUCGAUGAAGGCCUUAGGGUUGUAAAGAUCUUUCAGGUGGGAAGAUAAUGACUGUACCACCAGAAGAAGCCCCGGCUAACUCCGUGCCAGCCGCCGCCGUAA
This 449-nucleotide ribosomal RNA is filed under the name uncultured bacterium. Its description in RNAcentral is "partial 16S ribosomal RNA". It matches the Rfam family "Bacterial small subunit ribosomal RNA", at positions 29 to 523 of the family's 1533-position model. The record is from RNAcentral.